CCUACGGGUGGCAGCAGUGGGGAAUAUUGCGCAAUGGGCGAAAGCCUGACGCAGCGACGCCGCGUGAGGGAUGAAGGUCUUCGGAUCGUAAAACUCUGUCAGCAGGGAAGAACGGUCACUGUGCUAAUCAGCAGUGAAUUGACGGUACCUGCAAAGGAAGCACCGGCUAACUCCGUGCCAGCAGCCGCGGCAAUACGGAGGGUGCGUGCGUUAAUCGGAAUUACUGGGCGUAAGGCGCUCGUAGGCGGUAUGUCAAGUCAAGGGUGAAAUCCCCGCGCUCAACGUGGUAACUGCCUUUGAAACUGGCAAACGUGAGUGUGUGAGAGGAUAGUGGAAUUCCUGGUGGAGGAGUGAAAUCCGUAGAUAUCUGGAGGAACAUCAGUUGCGAAGGCGACUAUCUGGCACAUAACUGACGCUGAGGAGCGAAAGCGUGGGUAGCAAACAGGAUUAGAUACCCUUGUAGUC
RNAcentral lists this ribosomal RNA (465 nucleotides) under uncultured bacterium. Its description in RNAcentral is "partial 16S ribosomal RNA". It matches the Rfam family "Bacterial small subunit ribosomal RNA", at positions 338 to 795 of the family's 1533-position model. The record is from RNAcentral.